GCCAGUGUAGCUCAGCCGGUAGAGCAGCUGAUUCGUAAUCAGCAGGUCGAGGGUUCGAAUCCCUCUGCUGGCU
RNAcentral lists this transfer RNA (73 nucleotides) under Candidatus Aminicenantota bacterium. RNAcentral's name for it is "tRNA-Thr". It matches the Rfam family "tRNA". From Rfam's summary of the family: Transfer RNA (tRNA) molecules are approximately 80 nucleotides in length. Their secondary structure includes four short double-helical elements and three loops (D, anti-codon, and T loops). Lineage: Bacteria; Candidatus Aminicenantota. RNAcentral also lists the same sequence under 1 other name. The record is from RNAcentral.